UACGUAGGGGGCAAGCGUUGUCCGGAUUCAUUGGGCGUAAAGAGCGUGUAGGCGGUUCGGUAGGUCCGUUGUGAAAACUCGAGGCUCAACCUCGAGACGCCGAUGGAAACCCCCGAACUAGAGUCCGGAAGAGGAGAGUGGAAUUCCCGGUGUAGCGGUGAAAUGCGCAGAUAUCGGGAAGAACACCCGUGGCUAAGGCGGCUCUCUAGUACGGUACUGACGCUGAGGUGCGAAAGCGUGGGGAGCAAACAGG
RNAcentral lists this ribosomal RNA (253 nucleotides) under uncultured bacterium. RNAcentral's name for it is "partial 16S ribosomal RNA". It matches the Rfam family "Bacterial small subunit ribosomal RNA", at positions 524 to 776 of the family's 1533-position model. The record is from RNAcentral.